AAGUAGGAGAGAAGCAGCUAACUCCCUCAGGUCUCCUGAACACGCCGCUGCGGCCACAGCUCGGAGCUGUCGGGGACGUGAGGCUGCAGCUCUGCUGUGUCCGUGAACCUGUCACCAUGAACCCCAAUCCUGGAGAGGCUUCCAGAGCCUGAAGUCACUUUCUUUAUUCAUAAGCUGAGACCAGAUACACCUGAAGCCACCCUAGGAUCAAGGGCCUAAACCACCUAAGCAUCCAGCACACACCAGAGGCUCAAAAGAUGUUUGGAAGAAUGGAUGAAAAACCCUUUGACCCUUCAUUUGAACCUAAACACUGUAUGUAACUAAAGAUCAGUCACUUCUCGGGCAGGUGAGCCUCCUCCACCCUGUCCUAUUUCUUUCCCAAGCCAUGGAACAGAAAUAUUUUCCCCAAAUCACUACUGCCCUGGAGCUUCCUCCUCCCUAAUCCCAUCCAGAAAAAGAACAUUCUGUAUAUAGCAGUUGCCUGAGCAGAGGAGAGGGAAUCUUGAGAGUCGCUCAUCUGCUCUCUGCAACCCUGCGAAGCCUUCUGUCUCACUGGUUAAGAGCAUGGGCCCUGGAGAAAGAGCUCAAGAAAUAUCAGAUUAAAAAAACUUCUUUUUUUAGUGUUAAGUACAUACAUAAGUAAUUAUAUAUGUACUCAUAAGAGCUAUCUUGCCCUGAAUAACACCAAUCUGACAGGGAAACUAGUACUUCAAGUAAACAAAUGCAUUACUCAUAAUUACAGCUAUCAUCUGUGAGAGUCUGUGUGCCAGCCCUGUGACUGAGGCCCUCAUGUACAUAUUUCAUCCAUCCAGUCAUUUAUUCAUCCCACAAACACCUGAUUCACCCUUCCCUGCCCACCACCCACACCAGGCACCUGUGCUUGGCACCGGGGGAGAGAGCACUGAACAAAACAAAGACCUGCCCUGAUGGAGCACAUUCCAGAAGAGAAAAACAUUUGAGAAGGAAGAAGGUACACUAGACAAUGAAGACAUUCUAGUGGGGCAAGAAGGAUAAAAUAAAGCGGCAAAUAAAUAAUGUUAAGUGAUGGCGAAUGCAAAGAAGACAAAAUAAGCAGAAGAAGGAGGAGGGGAAUGAUGUUGAUGGAACUGAGGGGUGGCGGGGUGUGUCUGGGAUUAGAGGUGCUAUUUUACCCAGGAUGGUCCAUUAAACCUCACUCGGCUAAGGUGACAUUUCAGUAGAGACUUUAGGAAAUGAGCAAGCCAGCCAUGCAACAACCUGGGGAGAAAGGAUUCCAGGCGGAGGGAAGAGCAAGUGCAAAGGUCCUGAGGCUGGAACGUGCCUGGCAGGUUGAGGGGCAUCGGUUAGGCCAGUGUGUCAGGAAGGUAGUGAGUGAAGGAGGGAAUGAUGGGAGGUGAGGUGAGCAGGCAGCAGAGGGGCCAGAUUACAGGGCCUUCUAGACCAUUUUAAGGACUUCGGCUUUUUUAUAAUGAUAAGACAAUUAGCCAUUUGACAUACCACUGUCCUGUUUCUGUUUAUUCUGAAAGAAUUAGAAAAGCUAAUUUUUUUAACCAAGAAAAAAAAUAUCUCUGGCUUCAAUCCAAAGGCUACAUAAACCAGCAGCAUAAAGGCCUGAGAAAAGGAGAAUUGGGUAUAAAUGAGUUCCAUUUUCAUCAUUGUCUUUAAUUAUUCCAUUGAUAUUAAUGCCUUUGAAAAUAUACACAAUGGUAAUGAAUAUGCUGGUAUACUAGGAUGCUGAAAAAAAUUUUAAAGAAAUUUUAUUAUAAUUUUCCAUUAAUUAGAUCAUUAAAACUUACUGUGCUAUCAAUUUUCCAUUUAAGUGAUAAAGCAUUGAUUAUUUUUUUAAAAAAGGACUUUGGCUUUUAUUCUGGGUUUAACAGAAAGACAGCAGAGGUCUGGGCAAAGGGUUCACGGGAUCACAAAAGGAUCAUCAUGGUUGUUAUGUCAGAAAAGUCUGCAAAGGGGACACUAGGUAGCAGGCUUUUGUAUAAAUCUAUGUCCAAGGAUUUUGCCCCAAACAAGAAGAAGAAGGGUGACACAUUUGCAGGGAGAAGGAGGCUGGGGACAGGGUAGCACAUGGGAUUUUGGUUUGCGGAAUAUUAAAUUUGAAGAAUUCCACUGAUUAAAAACUCAAUAGACAUACAACUUGAAAAUCCCCACAGGCCACAACACUGUCUUUCUCCUUCCAGGAGACUCAGGGCUUCUCGUAGUGAGCUGUGACCAGGAUGGGUAUGAUUAGCGUGCAAUGCUCCAUCUCCUCCAAGCCCCAUGACCACCAUGAAGCCCGACCUUCUCCGGCAGGGCAAGCAGCCAGAUGUCAGUCUGAGUAACUCAGCCCUGGCCUCGGAGACCAUGGACAGCUUAGUCUUUGGCUUAAAAAUAAUCAGCCAAGAGCAGGGUUGGCAAACUCUCUCUGUAAAGGGCCAGACAGUAAAUAUCUGUGGUUUGUGAGCCACAUGGUCCCUGUGGCAACUAGCUGACUCUGCCCUAGAGAGUACAUAAGGAAUGAGUGUGGCUAUGUUUCCAUAAGCUUUAUAUACAAAAACGGGCAGCAGGCCAGAUUUUUGGCCUAUGGGCCGUAGUUUGCUGAUCACUGACCAAGAGCAUAAAAAAAAUGAAGAAAGGUACCUUUAUUGUUGUAUUUAUUCAAGUCCCCUAUAACACAGGCCCCCAUCCUAAAAAGGGAGAUUGUUUCUCCCAGUUAUGGCAGGCAGGCAAUGAUCUUAAAAUCAAGAAAGAGCUACGAGGCCCUGAGUAGGAAUUAGAUACUAAUUAUAACUUCAAGACACAAGAAAUACAAAAACAAUAACCAUACGCAAGUCUAUCAGUUUGGUUAGAAUCUUCGGUAUGGUUUAAAUUAUCUAUUUUCUUAUUACCACUGAAGGAAAUUAAAUUUUAAGUUUUGUAGGAAAAGGUAUAAAAUUGAAUUAUGCAGCUAUUCUUAUCCAAGAUUUUUUCCUCAACAACCCCAGCUGCUGGGGAUUGGCUAUGAUCCCAUCCAGCUAACUGCUCAAAGACACACUUUCUCAGCAGCAAGAUGCCAGUGAACCAGCACAUGCUCGAGCCACCUGACUUCCUGGGGAAGGCCUCCUCAAGAGCUUUCGUGAUGAUUAUUCUUCUGGGGACUAUAUGCAGGGGGAAGGGAGCACAGAGAGUCUACUGCACAAUCAGGAGGAAAAGGGGUCAGACUGGAAUUGUACCAACAACAAAAACUACUGGGUCCCUGGCCGUGCUCUGCUCAAGCAGCCUACAACCCAGCGGUGACCACUGGCCAUGCCUUCCACUUUUGCUCUAGAGAAGUCAGUGGUUACCGAAUUCAUAAUUCAUUCCUGUUGCACUUGGAUUAUAUUUGGAGACAGGUGAUUUGGAAAAUGAACUUAACAUUUCCUCAGCUCACUCCCGCAGCUACAAACUACCAAAUGUCCUUUAAGAAGCCCCCCGUGCUGGCAAGCUGGAAUGAGAGCCACUUGCCCCCAGCCUCUUGGGUACAUUUGCCGGGGACCAUUACACAAACCUCAAACCAAACCUGUCUCAGGAGAGGCACCCACAAA
Long non-coding RNA from Physeter macrocephalus (sperm whale), 3530 nucleotides. RefSeq lists it as uncharacterized. NCBI's taxonomy places the organism in Eukaryota, Metazoa, Chordata, Mammalia, Artiodactyla, Physeteridae. The transcript is spliced from 3 exons. The record is from RefSeq and is a predicted model, not a curated record.